RNAcentral lists this ribosomal RNA (433 nucleotides) under uncultured bacterium. RNAcentral's name for it is "partial 16S ribosomal RNA". It matches the Rfam family "Bacterial small subunit ribosomal RNA", at positions 29 to 507 of the family's 1533-position model. The record is from RNAcentral.
AACGAACGCUGGCGGCAUGCCUAACACAUGCAAGUCGAACGAUCCCUUCGGGGAUAGUGGCGCACGGGUGCGUAACGCGUGGGAACCUGCCCUUAGGUUCGGAAUAACUCAGAGAAAUCUGAGCUAAUACCGGAUAAUGUCUUCGGACCAAAGAUUUAUCGCCUUUGGAUGGGCCCGCGUUGGAUUAGCUAGUUGGUGGGGUAAAGGCCUACCAAGGCGACGAUCCAUAGCUGGUCUGAGAGGAUGAUCAGCCACACUGGGACUGAGACACGGCCCAGACUCCUACGGGAGGCAGCAGUGGGGAAUAUUGGACAAUGGGCGAAAGCCUGAUCCAGCAAUGCCGCGUGAGUGAUGAAGGCCUUAGGGUUGUAAAGCUCUUUUACCCGGGAUGAUAAUGACAGUACCGGGAGAAUAAGCCCCGGCUAACUCCGUG